RNAcentral lists this long non-coding RNA (1104 nucleotides) under Bos grunniens (domestic yak). RNAcentral describes it as "lncRNA (ENSBGRG00000015195.1)". The record is from RNAcentral. Lineage: Eukaryota; Metazoa; Chordata; Mammalia; Artiodactyla; Bovidae.
AUGAGAGGACUCCUAGACAUAUCAGCGGGGAGGGCGGCGGGUGGGGAGCUUUCUGAGGACCUUUCUGAUAACCAGGGUCAUGGGGACAGGGCCCUCCCAAGUGGUAGGGCGGGCGGGCCAGGACUCCCAAGGCUGCAGUGGAGACCCCAGGACUGCCUGGGGCGCCUGCCGGGGGGCGGGAGCUCCCUGGCGAGGGCUCCUGGAAAAGGGGCCGAGGGGGUCCAAUGAAUGGGGGGGUGUAAGCAAUGACUGUCGGGCUUAUUGGCUGAUUGACCCGGCAACCACAGCUCACAGACGCCCUUUAUCAGCCGUCGUCCCAGGCUCAGCUGCAGGGCAAUCCUGUGGGGGGUGGGAGAUGGGGACAGGCCGCAGCUCCUGGAGGCCCCCGGGCUCAGGCAGCCGCCCACCCCCAGUGUGUGCUCCCUUCUGUCCAUCCUCACCAGGGGAAUGGGGAGGGCUCAGCUCCCCUGGGACCCCUGAGUGUUGAGGAAAGCAGUGUGACACCCUCGGUGCAUGAGUGACAGCGGCACUGAGCCAGACACCUGUGUCUCCCGUGAUGGGGAGAGAGCUGGGCUGCAGGCAGGGCUGGGUCCAGGCCGUCAGCGGCUCUGCCUUGUUUUCCACCGUUACCGUCCAGUCAGCAGCUGCAGGGAACGGCUCCUGGGCACAGGGAGGGAAAUCCCUCAGACUCACCAUGGCCUGCCAGGCAUGCGCUCCCCCUGGGUUCUGGACUUGUCCCAGCUGCAGGGGAGGCAUCCCUCGUGGGCACCUCCCCGGGCAAGAACACAGACCUGGGAGUGUCCACCUGGAGGUGGAGCAGAGCAGGCAGUGUAUCCUGUAUCGGCUGAGUCCAGCAGAGGAGCAUGGAGAGGCAGCCAGGGCCAGGCCUGGGGCUGGGAGUCCUUCAGGAAAGCCAGGACCCGACACGGAAGCGCAGUGGUGAAGUCACAGAGACUGAACGACAGCCUGAGUCUCCUCCGCUGCGGACAGAGGGUCCUCGGGGUUCGGAAGCCACGGGAUGUUCACGGGAACAGAAUCCAAACGGCACCGCGCCGCAGCCGCCCCUGGGCGAACCUGCCGGACGCCAGGUGGCCGGCGAGCUAG